AGCCACGUGAUGAGCACAGAGCAAGCUAUUCUUUCACCUUUUACUAAAGAAUACCGCGUGCCUGUCACAACUAGUGGCAUAUGUUCUAUUUCUGGACGAGUUCCUUAACUGGG
Small nuclear RNA from Eucalyptus grandis, 113 nucleotides. RefSeq annotates it as U5 spliceosomal RNA. Lineage: Eukaryota; Viridiplantae; Streptophyta; Magnoliopsida; Myrtales; Myrtaceae. The transcript has a single exon. The record is from RefSeq and is a predicted model, not a curated record.